UACGGGGGGGGCAAGCGUUGUUCGGAAUUACUGGGCGUAAAGGGCUCGUAGGCGGCCAACUAAGUCAGACGUGAAAUCCCUCGGCUUAACCGGGGAACUGCGUCUGAUACUGGCGAGCUCGAGGGAGGUAGGGGCGGACGGAACUUCCGGUGGAGCGGUGAAAUGCGUUGAUAUCGGAAGGAACGCCGGUGGCGAAAGCGGUCCGCUGGCCCUCUACUGACGCUGAGGCGCGAAAGCUGGGGGAGCGAACAGG
This 253-nucleotide ribosomal RNA is filed under the name uncultured bacterium. RNAcentral describes it as "partial 16S ribosomal RNA". It matches the Rfam family "Bacterial small subunit ribosomal RNA", at positions 524 to 776 of the family's 1533-position model. The record is from RNAcentral.